This 499-nucleotide ribosomal RNA is filed under the name Anelpistina negreai. RNAcentral describes it as "partial 16S ribosomal RNA". It matches the Rfam family "Bacterial large subunit ribosomal RNA", at positions 1831 to 2600 of the family's 2925-position model. Lineage: Eukaryota; Metazoa; Arthropoda; Insecta; Zygentoma; Nicoletiidae. The record is from RNAcentral.
GGUCCUAUGGAGGUAUGUUGGAUUUAACCUGCCCAAUGAUGACUAUUUAAUGGCCGCGGUAUUUUGACCGUGCAAAGGUAGCAUAAUCAUUAGGCCUUUGAUUGGGGUCUGGUAUGAAUGGUUGGACGAAGGGUUGACUGUCUUAGUGUGUUAAUUAUUUUGAAUUUUAUUUUUAGGUGAAAAAGCUUAAAUGUUCUUGGGGGACGAUAAGACCCUAUAGAUCUUUACAUAUUUCAUUGAAGGUGCAUUAUUUUUGAUGGGCUGUGUUUUGUUGGGGUGACAGGGAGAUAGAAUUACCUCUCCUUUUUAAGAAUUGCUUAUUAGCAUAAAGGUGAUCCACUUAUAAGUGAAUUAGGAUUAAGUUACCUUAGGGAUAACAGCGUAAUCUUUUUUGAGAGUUCUUAUCGACAAGAAGGGUUGCGACCUCGAUGUUGGAUUAAGAGAUUCGAGUGGUGAAGGAGCUGCUUGUAAGGGUCUGUUCGACCUUUAAAUUCUUACA